UUUUUAAAAGAGAAAAUUCUUAAAUCUUUUCCAGACUCAAAAAUAAUUAUUAAAGAUAUAAGUGGUGGAUGUGGUGCAAGUUUUGAAGUUUACAUUGUUUCUAAUUUAUUCAGCAAAAAACCUAUCCUGCAAAGACAUAGUUCGCUAUAACACAAAAUCAAAUAUGCAAUGCAAAAUAGAGUCCUGCAGACCUAAAUGAAAUAUUAGCUCAGUUGAUUACAGAAUAAUCUAGCAGCUAUACUAUCUUACUUCACUGAUAUGUGACCACUCUUAUUUUUAGCUUAUCUAUAAUUUAAAAAAUAAUCAUGAACAAAAAUUAUUAUAUAUAAAUUAUAAAAAUAUAUAUGAUUCAAAAUAUGUAACUCUAUUUAAAUUAUUCCACAGCUAAGCUAAAAUAUCAUACUUUUUGCAUAGAUUUAUUAAAAUUUAUAACUAUCCAUGUCUUUACAAUUGAUUCUAUGAUAUUAAAUUAAUACUAGAUCUGGGGUGUUGAAAUCUUUAGUCUUGUAUGUAUAUUUUAUUAGUAAUCUAUUUAAAUGUUAACUUUUAUUUUGAUUAUAACUAUCCAUGUCUUUACAAUUGAUUCUUUAUGAUAUUAAAUUAAUACUAGAU
Molecule: long non-coding RNA, 612 nt
Organism: Gordionus sp. m RMFG-2023
Lineage: Eukaryota; Metazoa; Nematomorpha; Gordioida; Chordodea; Parachordodidae
Exons: 3
Source: RefSeq, a predicted model, not a curated record